This 200-nucleotide ribosomal RNA is filed under the name uncultured bacterium. RNAcentral describes it as "partial 16S ribosomal RNA". It matches the Rfam family "Bacterial small subunit ribosomal RNA", at positions 8 to 205 of the family's 1533-position model. The record is from RNAcentral.
AGAGUUUGAUCCUGGCUCAGGACGAACGCUGGCGGCGCGCCUAACACAUGCAAGUCGCACGAGAAGGGGCUUCGGCCCUGGUAAAGUGGCGCACGGGUGAGUAACACGUGGGUAAUGUUCCCUCGGGCGGGGGAUAACCUUCCGAAAGGAGGGCUAAUACCGCAUAAGACCACGGCCUUGGAGACGAGGCUGAGGUAAAA